GUUAAUCAAUUGAUGGGUUACUAAAUUGAUGAUUUUUCAGGAGUAUAUCCCCCACCACCUACUUCACAUCCACCAAAGCAGGAGGUGCGGGUGCGUCCUCCUCCUCCUCCUCCGCCGUCUUGUCCAGCACCAGUGCAAGGGUACUAUGAAGCCGGUCCUUAUGUGGCACCACCUCCAGUUAGUGACCCUAUGAAAUAUGGUCCUCAACACCUCCAACAGCCACCUCCUCCAGAAAGAACUAGUCAGAGGGAUGAUGACUUUGGCACAGGAUGGUAACUGAGCAUUUUUUUUCCCUUUUUAUUUAAAUAAUGAUUCACUGUGUACUUAUUUAUUUAUCCUUUUCCUAUGUGACACAGUUGCUGCUGCUGAAUCUAGAACGCGUGCUUUGAAGGACUAUGAAUGGUUCUCUGUAAAAUUUGCAGCUUAUAAUUGUUUUUCCCUUGUGUUUCUUGUUGGAAAUAAUAAUCAUUUUCGCUCUUUUUAUGUCACUGUACGUACUACGUUUAACAUUUAAUCACGUUGCUCUUUAAUUAUUAAUAUUUUUCUCCGUGCUACAAUUUUUGAUGGCCAGGCUAAAUGUUUGAGGGUAUCAGAUUGUUUGGUAAUUAGUAUUUUUUGAAGGUUUUUUUUGUAAUAUUUUUAAAAAAUAUAUUUAAUAAAGAUAUGUUGCAUUGCAAUAUUAAACACAACUCGAUUUUUUAAAAGCUUAAAACAAUAUCAUUUCAAUUCUUUUUGUUUUAAAUCAAAGAUUUAAGUUGAUCCAACUAAACCUUCAACCCAUGAGCCUCGAAAUAGAUAUAACCUGGGUGGUAUCUUAUAACUAUGCUAUUAAUGACUUUAAUUGUCACGUCUCGGUGUUCGGCUUGUAAAGGAAACAUAUGAACUUUCAAAGUGUAUAAAUAAUGUUGGUAUCAUAUAGAUUAAGUUGAUAAAUUAGGCAUUUAGUACAAAUUCACGAGUUAAUCUCACUUAAACUUUCAACCCAUGACACGAGACUCACUCGAAACUAGAUACAACCUGGGUGGUAUCUUAUAACUAUGCUAUUAAUGACUUUAAUUGCCACAUCUCUGUGUUCGGCUUGUAAAGGAAACAUAUGAACUUUCAAAGUGUAUAAAUAAUGUUGGUAUCAUAUAGAUUAAGUUGAUAAAUUAGGCAUUUAGUACAAAUUCACGAGGGAUAUCUUGUUCCCAAGUUGAAGAACAAAUAAAAGAAUUACAGUUGUAUGACUUCUACAAGAAUGGAGACCUGAGCUAUUCUCACAAACGUGAAUUGCUCAUGCAAACUAGUUUCAGUUCUUGAUGGAAAAUCGCUCUAUCCAUUCUGUCAGGCAAUCGGAGGAGCUCUGUGGUAUGGUGGUACCCUUCCAGGGAAGAACAUUUGUCUAAGAAAACAAGGGGUGAAUGGUGCUGUUACCACUCACUACUUCUAGACUUUCCCUUUCUGUUUUAGUCAAAGAGCUCGGGACUGAUACCAUGCCUUUUAUAGGCUUAAAAAACAGCAAAGUUUUGACAUUUUCUGUAAAACAUUUAGGCAAUGAAUUGCUUUCAAAUAAAACCAUGGGAUCCAAAACAGGGGGAGAUUGACAGUUUUGUUGUUACAUUAUUGUCACAAAGUAAGUUAUUGAACCCAUUUUUGUUAUCAUCAGGCAAUGUAUACAGAGCUUAGGAUCAGUUGUUCACUUGACAAGUCUAUUUGACGUUUGGAAGCUCUUCAUUUAAGAUCUAAGAUUUUUUCGUGUAAUCACAUGUUUGCUUGACCUAAGACUUGUAAUCAUAUCAACCAUGAUACCAAAAUGAAAAAUCAUUUGUUUGUAAAUUAGUCCUUUAAUUUGUUUUCCAUAACAUUUUUAAUUUUUUCCUACAAUGUUCUUUAUUUUUAGUUAAUUCUUUUUAAUAUUUAUAGGUCCUGUAAGGUCUUUACCUAUAUAUUUUGACCUAUUUUAUAUAAAUCACUUAUUACAAGCAAAAUAAAAAGUUUGAUAUUUUUAUGUGAAAAUAUCAUUUCUUCCAAAAAAAAAAAAAGAGUUCAUCUAAGUAUAGUAAAGAUAUGGGUUUGCUUGAGUAUUGUUUUUUAAAAAAUUAUUGAUUGUUGAAUUUGUUGAAAGGAUAAACUUCUUCUUUUUUUACUUUCUAAAAAUAUGUUUAUCUUGAAAAAAUUAUUAUUAAAUUAAUAUUUUUUUUCAAUAAUUUUGAUGUGUUAAUAUUAUAAAAAGAUUCUGAAAAAAAAUUAUUUUAAUAUAUUUUCAAGUAAAAAAUAAAACAACACUUUUAAAAAACACUUUAUAAUACUAAGCACAUAAUUAAUGCAUUAUAAUAUAUAAGUAUAUAUGACAGAACGGGCAUAUGGGAAGGGAAAUUUAUGAAGUUUAAUAUGAAUUUAACAGUCAGGGGAUUAACUUAUUAUUUUCAAAAUCAAAAGGACUAAAUCGCAAAAUAAUAAAAAAGGAAUUAAAUUAUAAUUUUCCCACAACAGAAAUGUUUUGUCCUUGUGAGCCUGAGACUUCAGUAGAGACCCAAAUCAGUCACUAGCUACUCAUAUUUUACCUUCUAACAAAUGGAGCAAAGUCCAAUUAUGAUCUAUCUAUGAAAUUGAAAUGAAUGCAGGAUCGCAAUUUGUGUAGAGUUUAUAACAUCCUAUUAAAAAAAUGCUUUGGCAGCCCUUUUCUUUUAAGCUUUUAGAAAAACAUUCUGCAAGGAAAAAAAAUCUAAUUUUCUGAAUGAGCUGCCCUGACACAAGCUUUUUUUUAAGGGAAAAAAAAUUGAUCAAAUAAAUACUGGGAAAUUCGUGAAAAUUGAAUCAUGCUUUUGUUUCAUUUGGGCAUCGAAUCUGUCUAGAAAAACAUUAAUGCAACUUUAUAUCGAUUAGCUAGGAAAGCUCUCCCAGUAUGUUUUGAGAACACUUGGUCUAGACAUUAGAAACAAGUGAAAGUCGCUUGCUUCCUAGCUGAAGCUUCGUUUCUUCUGUCUCACCAUUGAAAUAGUCGAGGAUAUAUGCUGAAACAUAGAUGAUCUAGGAUUAAAGAUGCAGAAAGCACAUGAAUUCAUUCUUUAUGCGACUCCUUCAACAUAAUAGCAAAAGGAGAUGGUCUCUCAAAGUGUUUUUGGGUAGAGGUUAAAACACAAACCUGAAACCAAACACCAUCUGACAUGCAGCGAAAGAGUAAUCAACAGAAUUCGGAUAUACUAGUAUGAAAGCAGAUAAAAGGGCCCCAAGCUAUAAUUUGUGCAUGUCAGAAAGAGCUACAAUCAAAAUUCAUCCCACAAUAACUUUUGUAAGGACUGAUUAUUGAAGAAGUAUAUAGGACAUCGCAGGAUUCAAGAUGUGCUGGGUUGAAGCAUCAAGCUCGUCACAAGAAUUCUACAAUAAUAGUAUUGUCUAAAUGUUCAUCAAGAAUUUGAUGAUGAGGUAAUAUUUAUUUACCCCGAAUCUUGACCUUAAGUGUCCAUUUAACCUUUCCCUCUGGCAACGGAAUAGACUUUGGGAAGCGUAGUGGCACCUCAACUUGUACUUAUAUACAAGCGGGAUAGAUCCAAGAAGAGAAGAAAAUCACAUUCGAAUUUGUUCUUCUUCUCAUGUCUCUGUUUCUGUGUUUAUCUUUAUUGUAUAUUUGUAUAUAUCUAGGAGUUAUAACUUGAAAAACAUAAAGAGACAUGCCCAUUUCAAUACCAAAUAUCGAGUUCCUGACUUCCUGAGGCAAGAAGUUCAACCCCUUUGAGGUAUUUCCUCUGUACUCGUGUUUGUGCCUCAUGUUCUUAAGCAUCUGUCCAGUGAUGCUAGCAAGCAAGGGUCAAAAGACGUGAGCCAUUUGUUCUUAAUUAUUGUUCUCUGCAAAUAGGAAAUCAUAUGUACAGAAGCAGAUAAUGGAAUCAAUAACCUUCGGUCUACGUGUAUUUUCCUAUAAUAUCGAAAGGGGAAAAAAUUAUUCUUUGAAUUCGUCAAGAAUAUAUGAAGUAUGUUUAUAGAAAAGGAUGCCGAUAAUGUUGAAAUAGGAGAAAGAUUCCUUUUUGGUAUAUUUAUAAUCAAGUAAAAAUAUUCCUAGUUUAAAAAGAUUUGUAUUUAGGAUUUUAAAAAAUAAUCAAGUAAAAAUAAUUAUAAUCACAUUUCCAAAAAAAACUCUAUAUCCAAGUGAUUGACACUGAUUCUUCCAAGCUCAUCAAAUUUUUCGAAAUUAUUGUGGGAAAUCGUUUUAAUUUGUUUGGUAUUCACUUAUGAAACAAUUAACUUUUUUAUAUGUGUGCUGUGAAUUUUAAUUAUUUUAGAAAAUACAUAAUAAUAAUGAUAUUUUUCUUUCAAAGUCCGUACUUUAUUUAUAUAUGAAAGAUCAGAACAAACUAAAAGUAAAAUUGUGAUAAAAAUUAGUUUGGAUUUAAAAUUAGGAUUUUUUUUUUUAUGUUCGCCCAUAUGUAUGCGUGUAUGUAUAUAUGUAUGUAUUAAUUAUUAUUAUUAUUAUUAUUAUUAUAUUCUGUUUGGUCGUUUUGUACAUUUUGGUGGGCCAGGCCCAGGACCCCACAAGCACAAAAACAAAGGAGAAUCCAUGUGCACAAAUCUCUGUGGGACUCAUGCUCAAAAACUGAAUCCGUUGAUUCAUGUAUCUGGGGGUACUUAUCAAUAAAUCUAUGUGGAACACAAAUUUCUUUAAUUAAAUCAUGAGAUUAAUUAAUUAAUUAAUGAAACGGUGUCAAAAAAGUCUCUCUAUUUUAAUGUCAAAAAUCAACUCUUUGAAAAGAAAUAUAGAUUUACCAUUAAUAUCACAAAUACACACAUAAUUCAUUAAUAAUAUUAAAAUACAGUUAAUAAGUUGAUCAGGUUUCUGUUUAUAAAGAAUGAAUUAUAUUUUCAUUUAAUUAGAAAAACAGCAAUAUAUAGUUCAAAUUAAUUUGAUGGCGUGUCUUAAUAUAAUAGAUAUGGGUUAGAGGAGAGAGCCACCCUUUUCUAUGCAAUUCAAGGCUUUCGAGCUAUUUUUGUUGUCUCGUUUUGAUUAGAAGAUCAAUUAUUAUUUUCAAUAUCAUUUCGGAGGAACCUUCUGUCCAUUUUCGGAGCAAUUCAAGUUAGAAAACGAAGGCAGAGUCCACAUUGCUUCUUUGAACAAAUGGAUUGAAUUGUUAUUGAAAGAAAUCCCAAUUGUCACAACAUGAUAGGUCGUCUAGCUAGUUUUUCCAUGCAUUUAGCAAGUCGCCAUUGAUGAAGACCUUAAAGAACAUCCAGCCAACUCUAUAAAACAUAUCAUUUCAUUCCUUUGGUUUUUACAUAUACCAAAUAAAAGUUUUUCAUAGGUGAUCAUAUCUUGAUUUCAACAAUGAGUUACGGCAACAACAAUUAUCAAGCUUCUGCAGGUAAUUUAAUUUAUGUUCGGCUUCUAAAAAUCUUUUUUUUCCCCUUUUUUUUCUGUGAUUUAGGAAGUUAAUCAAUUGAUGGGUUACUAAAUUGAUGAUUUUUCAGGAGUAUAUCCUCCUCCUCCUCCUCCUCCUUCUUGGCCACCACCAGUGCAAGGGUACUAUGAAGCCGGUCCUCAUGUGGAACCACCUCGAGUUAGUGACCCUAUGAAAUAUGGUCCUCAACACCUCCAACAGCCACC
RNAcentral lists this long non-coding RNA (5575 nucleotides) under Populus trichocarpa (black cottonwood). RNAcentral describes it as "long non-coding RNA (PTRI_LNC002963)". Lineage: Eukaryota; Viridiplantae; Streptophyta; Magnoliopsida; Malpighiales; Salicaceae. The record is from RNAcentral.